UACGGGGGGGGCAAGCGUUGUUCGGAAUUACUGGGCGUAAAGGGCUCGUAGGCGGCCAACUAAGUCAGACGUGAAAUCCCUCGGCUUAACCGGGGAACUGCGUCUGAUACUGGAUGGCUGGAGGUUGGGAGAGGGAUGCGGAAUUCCAGGUGUAGCGGUGAAAUGCGUAGAUAUCGAGAGGAACACCUGCGGCGAAGGCGGGUUGCUGGGCUGACACUGACGCUGAUGCGCGAAAGCCAGGGGAGCGAACGGG
Molecule: ribosomal RNA, 253 nt
Filed under: uncultured bacterium
Lineage: Bacteria
Description: partial 16S ribosomal RNA
Rfam family: Bacterial small subunit ribosomal RNA
Source: RNAcentral